Molecule: ribosomal RNA, 290 nt
Filed under: Klebsiella pneumoniae
Lineage: Bacteria; Pseudomonadati; Pseudomonadota; Gammaproteobacteria; Enterobacterales; Enterobacteriaceae
Description: partial 23S ribosomal RNA
Rfam family: Bacterial large subunit ribosomal RNA
Source: RNAcentral
AAGAUGCAGGUUACCCGCGACAGGACGGAAAGACCCCAUGGAGCUUUACUGCAGUUUGAUAUUGAGUGUCUGUACCACAUGUACAGGAUAGGUAGGAGUCUAAGAGAUCGGGACGCCAGUUUCGAAGGAGACGCUGUUGGGAUACUACCCUUGUGUUAUGGCCACUCUAACCCAGAUAGGUUAUCCCUAUCGGAGACAGUGUCUGACGGGCAGUUUGACUGGGGCGGUCGCCUCCUAAAAGGUAACGGAGGCGCCCAAAGGUUCCCUCAGAAUGGUUGGAAAUCAUUCGC